Molecule: ribosomal RNA, 180 nt
Filed under: uncultured Glomeromycotina
Lineage: Eukaryota; Fungi; Glomeromycota
Description: partial small subunit ribosomal RNA
Source: RNAcentral
GGAUUGGCGCAUCGGUCGUGCCUUACGGGGUAUGAACUGGUGCAGUCAAUUUCUCACCUUCUGGAGAACCGCGAUGUCCUUAAUUGGGUGCCGCGGGGAACCAGGACCUUUACUUUGAAAAAAUUAGAGUGUUUAAAGCAGGCAUUUUUGCUUGAAUACAUUAGCAUGGAAUAAUAAAAU